GGGUCUGCGUUUCAUUAGCUANCNUNNUAGGGUAAUGGCCUACCAAGGCAACGAUGAGUAGCUGGUCUGAGAGGAUGAUCAGCCACACUGGAACUGAAACACGGUCCAGACUCCUACGGGAGGCAGCAGUGGGGAAUAUUGCGCAAUGGGCGAAAGCCUGACGCAGCAACGCCGUGUGAGGGAUGAAGGCUUUCGGGUCGUAAACCUCUGUCGGAAGGGAAGAACGGGCAUUGGUCUAAUAGGCCUUUGUUUUGACGGUACCUUUAGAGGAAGCACCGGCUAACUCCGUGCCAGCAGCCGCGGUAAUACGGAGGGUGCAAGCGUUAUUCGGAAUUACUGGGCGUAAAGCGCACGUAGGCCGCUUUGUAAGUCAGGGGUGAAAUCCCACGGCUCAACCGUGGAACUGCCCUUGAAACUGCAGAGCUUGAAUCCUGGAGAGGGUGGCGGAAUUCCUGGUGUAGGAGUGAAUCCGUANAUAUCAGGAGGAACACCGGUGGCGA
This 500-nucleotide ribosomal RNA is filed under the name uncultured sulfate-reducing bacterium. RNAcentral describes it as "bacterial SSU rRNA". It matches the Rfam family "Bacterial small subunit ribosomal RNA", at positions 227 to 718 of the family's 1533-position model. The record is from RNAcentral.